This 75-nucleotide transfer RNA is filed under the name Kofleriaceae bacterium. RNAcentral describes it as "tRNA-Val". It matches the Rfam family "tRNA". Rfam says of the family: Transfer RNA (tRNA) molecules are approximately 80 nucleotides in length. Their secondary structure includes four short double-helical elements and three loops (D, anti-codon, and T loops). Further hydrogen bonds mediate the characteristic L-shaped molecular structure. tRNAs have two regions of fundamental functional importance: the anti-codon, which is responsible for specific mRNA codon recognition, and the 3' end, to which the tRNAs corresponding amino acid is attached (by aminoacyl-tRNA synthetases). tRNAs cope with the degeneracy of the genetic code in two manners: having more than one tRNA (with a specific anti-codon) for a particular amino acid; and 'wobble' base-pairing, i.e. permitting non-standard base-pairing at the 3rd anti-codon position. The record is from RNAcentral. Lineage: Bacteria; Pseudomonadati; Myxococcota; Haliangiales; Kofleriaceae.
GGGCGCUUAACUCAGCGGCAGAGUGGUACCUUCACACGGUACAAGUCGUAGGUUCAAUCCCUACAGCGCCCACCA